Molecule: ribosomal RNA, 453 nt
Filed under: uncultured bacterium
Lineage: Bacteria
Description: bacterial SSU rRNA
Rfam family: Bacterial small subunit ribosomal RNA
Source: RNAcentral
UACGAAGGCAGCAGUGGGGAAUAUUGCACAAUGGGCGCAAGCCUGAUGCAGCCAUGCCGCGUGUAUGAAGAAGGCCUUCGGGUUGUAAAGUACUUUCAGUCGUGAGGAAGGUGUUAAGGUUAAUAACCUUAGCAAUUGACGUUAGCGACAGAAGAAGCACCGGCUAACUCCGUGCCAGCAGCCGCGGUAAUACGGAGGGUGCGAGCGUUAAUCGGAAUUACUGGGCGUAAAGGGCACGCAGGCGGUUAAUUAAGUUGGAUGUGAAAUCCCCGGGCUUAACCUGGGAAUGGCAUUCAAGACUGGUUAGCUAGAGUCUUGUAGAGGGGGUAGAAUUCCAUGUGUAGCGGUGAAAUGCGUAGAGAUGUGGAGGAAUACCGGGUGGCGAAGGCGGCCCCUGGGCAAAGACUGACGCUCAUGUGCGAAAGCGUGGGGAGCAAACAGGGAUUAGAUACC